GGAGGGUCUCAGUGGUAGAGUACAUGCCUAGCAUGCACAAGGUCCUGGGUUCAAUCCCCAGUACCUCCA
This 69-nucleotide transfer RNA is filed under the name Camelus bactrianus (Bactrian camel). It matches the Rfam family "tRNA". Rfam says of the family: Transfer RNA (tRNA) molecules are approximately 80 nucleotides in length. RNAcentral also lists the same sequence under 2 other names. Lineage: Eukaryota; Metazoa; Chordata; Mammalia; Artiodactyla; Camelidae. The record is from Rfam by way of RNAcentral.